CCCUCUGUAGCUCAGUUGGCAGAGCGCCGGUCUUAAUAAGCCGGUGGCCGCCGGUUCGACCCCGGCCAGAGGGA
RNAcentral lists this transfer RNA (74 nucleotides) under Streptacidiphilus jiangxiensis. It matches the Rfam family "tRNA". From Rfam's summary of the family: Transfer RNA (tRNA) molecules are approximately 80 nucleotides in length. Their secondary structure includes four short double-helical elements and three loops (D, anti-codon, and T loops). Lineage: Bacteria; Bacillati; Actinomycetota; Actinomycetes; Kitasatosporales; Streptomycetaceae. The record is from Rfam by way of RNAcentral.